GAUGGAAAGCACUUUGAAAAGAGGGUGAAAAGCACCUGAAACCGCCACGGGGGAAGCGGAUUGCAUCAGUGUUUGCUAGUAUCUGUUCAGCUAUCAUUUUGGUAGUGUAUUCAGUUCUAGCUGUGUUGGCAUGGCUGCUUUGGCUUUGGAUUAUGCAAGGCUAAGUGGUGAGGGCUCCCUUUUGUAGGUAGAGGAUGUCAACAAAAUGAUGCGACCCGACCCGUCUUGAAACACGGACCAAGGAGUCUAGCACUACUGCAAGUCGAAGGGUUUAAAAACUCAUGGGCGAAGUGAAAGCAAGUAUUUGGAGAUCUGAUACAGAUUAGGGAGGUGUUGCGACGUUGUCAAAAUAUCCUACCCAGAGCAGUUGUGCUGGGACCCGAAAGAUGGUGAACUAUGCCGGAAUAGGGCAAAGCCAGAGGAAACUCUGGUGGAGGCUCGUAGCGAUGCUGACGUGCAAAUCGCUCGUCGAAUUUGGGUAUAGGGGCGAAAGACUAAUCGAACCAUCUAGUAGCUGGUUCCCUCCGAAGUUUCUCUCAGGAUAGCGGGCCGACGAUGUGGGUUGUUUUGUGU
This 573-nucleotide ribosomal RNA is filed under the name Pseudolithophyllum sp. 19muricatum. Its description in RNAcentral is "eukaryotic LSU rRNA". It matches the Rfam family "Eukaryotic large subunit ribosomal RNA", at positions 363 to 1009 of the family's 3401-position model. The record is from RNAcentral. Lineage: Eukaryota; Rhodophyta; Florideophyceae; Corallinales; Lithophyllaceae.